GAUGAACGCUGGCGGCGUGCCUAAUACAUGCAAGUAGAACGCUGAAGGAGGAGCUUGCUCUUCUGGAUGAGUUGCGAACGGGUGAGUAACGCGUAGGUAACCUGCCUGGUAGCGGGGGAUAACUAUUGGAAACGAUAGCUAAUACCGCAUGACAACAGUUAUUGCAUGAUAACUGUUUAAAAGGGGCAACUGCUCCACUACCAGAUGGACCUGCGUUGGAUUAGCUAGUUGGUGAGGUAACGGCUCACCAAGGCGACGAUACAUAGCCGACCUGAGAGGGGGGUCGGCCACACUGGGACUGGGACACGGCCCAGACUCCUUCGGGAGGGAGCAGGAGGGGAUCUUCGGGAAGGGGCGGAAGUCUGACCGAGCAACGCCGAGUGAGGGUAGAAGGUUUUCGGAUCGUAAAGCUCUGUUGUAAGGGGAGAACGAGUGUUGGAGUGGAAAGUUCACGCUGUGACGGUAUCUUACCAGAAAGCGACGGCUAACUACGUG
RNAcentral lists this ribosomal RNA (495 nucleotides) under uncultured bacterium. Its description in RNAcentral is "partial 16S ribosomal RNA". It matches the Rfam family "Bacterial small subunit ribosomal RNA", at positions 28 to 507 of the family's 1533-position model. The record is from RNAcentral.